Long non-coding RNA from Epinephelus fuscoguttatus (brown-marbled grouper), 239 nucleotides. RefSeq lists it as uncharacterized. The transcript has 3 exons. The record is from RefSeq and is a predicted model, not a curated record. NCBI's taxonomy places the organism in Eukaryota, Metazoa, Chordata, Actinopteri, Perciformes, Serranidae.
GCAAAACAAGAUUAAACAUUGAUGCGGCUUUCCUAGACACAGCUUUUGACGAGUAAAGAGAUGAGGGUGGGGGAGACCUUCUCUGCAGAGUUUGCGUGUUCUCGUGGUGUCAACGUGGGUUUUCUCCGGGUACUCCAGCUUCCUCCCACAAUGCAAAGACGUUCAGGAGAGGCGAACAGGCUAGAGUUAGAUGGGACCAAGGAAGGGCUAAAGAUGGAUUUAAAUCCAAGUCCCCCAGA